UGCCGGCCCACGCAGGCGCUCUGUGUUUACAGUGCUUGUUUGUAGGUAAGAAUUCCUGUUUGACUGGUGCUGGAAAAUGCUACAUUUUCUGGUCUAAGAACUAAAAAGCAGGGAAAGAACUGCCAGGACCUGAUUCGGAAAUAAGGCUCCACUUCCGGAAGCAACAGCGCUCAGGGUGAUUUCUGAGAUUUGGUUGGAGGGAGUGUGGUAUGGAUAUUCCAUUUGGAGCUGAGUACUGCCUCUUAUUCUGUGCACUUGACCACUUGUAAGGAAACAUUAAUUGCCAUCUACUUCAGAGAAAAGCUUCUCUGAUGAGAGUUGGAAAAUGCUCUAAUCUAUGGAUAUAGAGAUAAGAGAAAAUCCUUUACUUGAAAUCUGGAUGUGGUGUGAAGAAAGCUGCUUUGGUUGCUAUGACAUCGCUACCUGCUUUAGGAAGUGCUUCUCCCUCUAGAGGGCAGUGCUCCACUUCUGCAUCCCAAACCUUGGAAGUAGGGCUGCCUUCCUGAAAGGCUGGAUGUGGUUCCUGUGGCUCAUCGCCUCAAAACAGAAAAUAUUCAUGAUGAUUACAAUUCCCAUAAGCUAAUAUUUGAUUUGUAAUUUUAAGGGCAAUUUCUUUGGCUUUUCUUCUGUCCUUUCUAAGAAUGUGUAGAAGGUGCUUAACCUAUACUCCACAUUUAGUUUAUAACUGGAUCUAUUUUCUGAAAAAUACCCCUAAAAUCUAUUUCUCUUAAGGUUCCUUAUAUUUGUCACUAGACAUGCUUAUGAAACAAAAAAUUUAAAAAUCCAACUAAAAUAAAAUCCCAGAGAAUUCUA
Peromyscus leucopus (white-footed mouse) is the source of this 813-nucleotide long non-coding RNA. RefSeq lists it as uncharacterized. The record is from RefSeq and is a predicted model, not a curated record. Lineage: Eukaryota; Metazoa; Chordata; Mammalia; Rodentia; Cricetidae. The transcript has 4 exons.